UACACUUCUCCCUCUUUUUUCACUUUCGAUGGAAGAAAGAUGGAAAAGUCCAUUUGGUAACCAAAGUCAUCUGAUAUCAGAAACAAUAUCAACACUACAGAUUGCUUCAAAGAUCGCAAAUCAAACAAGAUUAAAUUACGGAGGAGUUAUGAUACAAUCCACACGAGUGCUACAGUACAUCAACAAUACAACAUUCCCUGCUUUAAAGGCAGACUUUACAUAUAUGAAUAUUUCACACGUCAUCCAAAAUGUCACGUGGUUGCACUUGGAGUCUUAUACUAAGUUAUCGUCUGCAGUGAUUUUUCUGGAACAAUUAGUUCAUGACGAGACAGUUUUAAGUAAACAGGAAGAAAUGGUUUUCAUUACAGAGUUUACUAAAGUUGAAGAACAAAUAUACAAAGUUCUUCGUAAAAUACAAUUAGCUGUUAAUCAGCUCGGCAAAGUAAUUCAGACGUAUCAGUCACGUGAUAUUAUGCCAUAUUAUUUGCGUCAUCUUUGUAAUAAUACAAAUUACAUGCACCAUAGAAAUUAUAUAACUGUUAAUAACAUUUGGAUUUUAAUUCAGAGAAUUCAAAUUGUUUAUGAAGAGGUUCGACAACUGUUAUAACGAAUUGUCAUAGAUGAGGGUCUGGAUGGGAGACCUUAAUUAUUUCUGUAUUCUUUAAAUUUUAUGUCAUUUUUCUCUAUUCUUUAUUUUUUAACAAUUAUUCUCUAUUACUUAUAUUUUAACACCCCAUUAUUUUCUAUUCGAUAUAUUUUUUGCCUAUUUUUCUCUAUUCAUUAUUUUCCUGGAUCAUUUUUCUGUAGUAUUAGUCCAUUAUUUUCUAUUCUGUAAACCCCAAUCCAGACCUUCAUAGGAAGGGAUGAUCUAAUUAUCAUUAUUAAUCUGAUAACAUUAUUUAAAUCUGAAUAUUAUGCGUAAACUAUAUUAAUCAGAUCACGUUUUUUUUUCAUUUCGUGUGUCCAUAAACUAUUCUAAUUUGUUAAUUUAAAAAAAAAAAUCUUGUAAAGGAGCACAUAUGAUAAGAUCUAUUUAUUGGAUUCUUAAAUUUCAGUAAUAAUAACAUUCUUCAAUUCUUUGUAAAUUAUGUUAAUUUCAUUCGAACAAUAAAUGCAUACGAGGAAAUAACCUGAUCACAUAAAAUUAUUGAACUGCCAUUUGUUACUGUGACUUCAUAAACGUAUGCACGUCAUCACUGGCAUAUUGGACGAUUUUUUUUUCUAUUUUCCCUAUAUAUUUUUGAUACAAUUGAAUACGAGUAACAUCCUUAUUCAUCAUCUGUAUGUGUAUAAGGCAUCGUUUAGCAAAUCACCCUUGGUGGUCUCGUGGUAGUGUGUUCGCCUCGAGUGCGGGAGGUCGUGGGUUCGAACACCGGCCAGGUCAAACCAAAGACUUUAAAAUUGUUAUUUACUGCUUCUCCGCUUAGCACGCGGCAUUAAGGAGUAAGAGCAAAGACUGGUCGGCUCGGAGUUAAAAUAAUGUGUCCGGUAAGAUGAAAUGUCUUCCUGUGGACUGUUACCGUGUGAACUAGCACGUUAAUAAUCCGGCUCAGUGUGUCUGUCUACUACAAAGCAGGGUUUAUAUUUAUAUUAUGGAACGCCAAAACUGUCUUGUUAUGACUAUUUUCAUUAUAUGAUGUGCAUUUACCUUUAUAUGAUGUGCACUUGUCAUUAUAUGAUGUGCAAACACCUGUAUAUGAUGUGCAAAUAUCGUUAUGUUAUGAGCAAGUAACCUUACAUGUAUAUGAUGUCCAAACAUCCUUAUAUGAUGUGCAAAUAUACUUAUAUGAUGUGCAUAUAUACUUAUAUGAUGUGCAAAUGUACUUAUGUGAUGUGCAAACGUUCUUAUAUGAUGUGCAAACAUUCUUAUAUGAUUUGUAAAUACCCUUAUAUGAUGUGCAAAUGUACUUAUUAAUGUGCAAAUGUAUUUAAAUGAUGUGCAAAGAUCCUUAUAUGAUGUGCAAAUAUACUUAUAGUAUGUGCAAAUAUCCUAAUAUGAUGUGCAUUUUCCCUUAUAUUAUGUACAAACAUCUUUAUAUGAUGUGGUUGUGUCAUUAUAUUAUGUGCAUGUAACCUUAUGUGA
Mytilus californianus (California mussel) is the source of this 2083-nucleotide long non-coding RNA. RefSeq lists it as uncharacterized. The record is from RefSeq and is a predicted model, not a curated record. The transcript is spliced from 3 exons. Lineage: Eukaryota; Metazoa; Mollusca; Bivalvia; Mytilida; Mytilidae.